GUUAGGAAUCUUCCACAAUGGGGGCAACCCUGAUGGAGCAACACCGCGUGCUGGAUGAAGGCCUUCGGGUCGUAAACAGCUUUUGUAUACGAAGAAUAUGACGGUAAUAUACGAAUAAGGGUCGGCUAACUACGUGCCAGCAGCCGCGGUCAUACGUAGGACCCAAGCGUUAUCCGGAGUGACUGGGCGUAAAGAGUUGCGUAGGCGGCUUAUUAAGCGAGUAGUGAAAUCUGGUGGCCCAACCAUCAACACAUUGCUCGAACUGAUAGGCUUGAGAAUGGUAGAGGUAGUUGGAAUUUCUUGUGUAGGAGUGAAAUCCGUAGAUAUAAGAAGGAACACCAAUGGCGUAGGCAGACUACUGGACCAUUUCUGACGCUGAGGCACGAAAGCGUGGGGAGCGAACCGGAUUAGAUACCCUAGUAGUCC
Molecule: ribosomal RNA, 426 nt
Filed under: uncultured bacterium
Lineage: Bacteria
Description: partial 16S ribosomal RNA
Rfam family: Bacterial small subunit ribosomal RNA
Source: RNAcentral